This 225-nucleotide ribosomal RNA is filed under the name uncultured bacterium. RNAcentral's name for it is "partial 16S ribosomal RNA". It matches the Rfam family "Bacterial small subunit ribosomal RNA", at positions 15 to 230 of the family's 1533-position model. The record is from RNAcentral.
GAUCCUGGCUCAGGAUGAACGCUAGCUACAGGCUUAACACAUGCAAGUCGAGGGGCAGCAUGGUCUCAGCUUGCUAAGACUGAUGGCGACCGGCGCACGGGUGAGUAACACGUAUCCAACCUGCCGUCUACUCUUGGACAGCCUUCUGAAAAGGAAGAUUAAUACAAGAUGGCAUCAUGAGUCCGCAUGUUCAUAUGAUUAAAGGUAUUCCGGUAGACGAUGGGG